ACAGUAAAGAAGCUUUGAUGCUUCUGGAGACUGAACUUUUUCCUCUCCAAUCGGAGGAUUGUCUUUUGAGUGCAUUUAAAUGGAACUGUUUUUUACCGUAUUUUUUGUAUGGCCCAUUUAUAUAUUUUGGUACAGGUUAAUCAUGUCUCCCAUUAGACGUCUCUUUUCAAGACUAAA
Bufo bufo (common toad) is the source of this 177-nucleotide long non-coding RNA. RefSeq lists it as uncharacterized. Lineage: Eukaryota; Metazoa; Chordata; Amphibia; Anura; Bufonidae. The record is from RefSeq and is a predicted model, not a curated record. The transcript is spliced from 3 exons.